This 679-nucleotide ribosomal RNA is filed under the name Bacillus velezensis. RNAcentral describes it as "bacterial SSU rRNA". It matches the Rfam family "Bacterial small subunit ribosomal RNA", at positions 40 to 699 of the family's 1533-position model. The record is from RNAcentral. Lineage: Bacteria; Bacillati; Bacillota; Bacilli; Caryophanales; Bacillaceae.
CGGGGGGGCUAAUACAUGCAAGUCGAGCGGACAGAUGGGAGCUUGCUCCCUGAUGUUAGCGGCGGACGGGUGAGUAACACGUGGGUAACCUGCCUGUAAGACUGGGAUAACUCCGGGAAACCGGGGCUAAUACCGGAUGGUUGUUUGAACCGCAUGGUUCAGACAUAAAAGGUGGCUUCGGCUACCACUUACAGAUGGACCCGCGGCGCAUUAGCUAGUUGGUGAGGUAACGGCUCACCAAGGCGACGAUGCGUAGCCGACCUGAGAGGGUGAUCGGCCACACUGGGACUGAGACACGGCCCAGACUCCUACGGGAGGCAGCAGUAGGGAAUCUUCCGCAAUGGACGAAAGUCUGACGGAGCAACGCCGCGUGAGUGAUGAAGGUUUUCGGAUCGUAAAGCUCUGUUGUUAGGGAAGAACAAGUGCCGUUCAAAUAGGGCGGCACCUUGACGGUACCUAACCAGAAAGCCACGGCUAACUACGUGCCAGCAGCCGCGGUAAUACGUAGGUGGCAAGCGUUGUCCGGAAUUAUUGGGCGUAAAGGGCUCGCAGGCGGUUUCUUAAGUCUGAUGUGAAAGCCCCCGGCUCAACCGGGGGAGGGUCAUUGGAAACUGGGGGAACUUGAGUGCAAAGAAGGAGAGUGAAAUUCCACGUGUACCGCGGAAUUGCUUAAAAAUGU